GUUUUUGUGGUGUGUCCCGCACCGUCGCCACGUGUCGGCCUUUGUCUGCCUUUUCUGGCAUGAGCCAGCAGCCGAA
Molecule: long non-coding RNA, 76 nt
Organism: Etheostoma spectabile (orangethroat darter)
Lineage: Eukaryota; Metazoa; Chordata; Actinopteri; Perciformes; Percidae
Exons: 3
Source: RefSeq, a predicted model, not a curated record